GUCUUCCCGGGCCCACCAUUUGCACCUGCGAAUGAGGGUUAGGGAUGAUGGAAUGUUGGACGAUGCGGAUUGUUGCCGAACCUGAGUUGUCUCAGGCGAUCGAGCUGAUGGGGCUGUAGCUCAGCUGGGAGAGCACCUGCUUUGCAAGCAGGGGGUCAGCGGUUCGAUCCCGCUCAGCUCCACCAAAUCGAUUGGUGUUGAGGCUGAGGGUAACGCAACGCAAGGCGCGUCGCCAAUCGUUUGGCGCCUCCGCGGAGCGCCUUCGGCGCGUGAGCGACAAAUUUGUCUUUUGAAGAAAUAAAAGUUUGCAUCGGCUAAGGCCUGAUGCCUGUUCUGCAUACAUUGUGAAGAGAAGAUUGAUCUGGAGGCUUCCAGGUGUUUUGGGUUUUGGCCCGAAACGUCCGAGCCCAGUUCCUGUGAACCCAUGGAUGGCCUAGCCGGCCGGAUAUGGUGGAGGGGCUGGAGGUAGGUAGGAAGCUUGUCGCUCUGGAUCGUUUAUUGUUCGUGGCCCUUGGGCUUCGUCUGAUGAACGAUCGGAUUACCGUUGCCUGACCGCGCGGUAUCGGAUCCAAUCUCGAGAAGCUGGUCUUAAGACCUGACACAAGCGAGCUGCUCGGCGUAGCUCCAAUAAAGUGAUCAGGUCGAACACGUCGAUGGCAUUGUUAGAAAGCGUGAUUGUAAAAGGUAAUCACGCAUGUUUGGCCCGACCGCACGGCAAUCGCAAGGUUGUCUGGAUGGUCGGAUUUGGCACCCCGCGAGGCGAAAGCGAGCGGACAAGGUCUGCCAAAUCAAACAAAGAUGAUGAGCAUUGGCAAUGAGAACGAUUAAGUGUCGUAAGGGCAUUUGGUGGAUGCCUUGGCAUGCACAGGCGAUGAAGGACGUGAUACGCUGCGAAAAGCCGUGGGGAGCUGCGAAUGAGCUUUGAUCCAUGGAUCUC
This 937-nucleotide unclassified non-coding RNA is filed under the name Rhizobium sp. RNAcentral describes it as "partial contains 16S-23S ribosomal RNA intergenic spacer and 23S ribosomal RNA". The stretch from base 823 to 937 matches the Rfam family "Bacterial large subunit ribosomal RNA", at positions 1 to 114 of the family's 2925-position model. Lineage: Bacteria; Pseudomonadati; Pseudomonadota; Alphaproteobacteria; Hyphomicrobiales; Rhizobiaceae. The record is from RNAcentral.